UUCACUUGUACUAAAGCCAAUCUGCCAUAUGUCAAGCCCUAUCUUCACAAGAUAGGCUUUAUUCUCUGGCUAACUAAGUGACUUAUCAGUGGAUUAACCACAUCUCAUAUGGAGUUUGCUCUCUGCACCUUUAUGUAUUUCUACUUGAGGUAGUCGCGUGUUCUGUUGCUCUAUGUGCUUGGAUAUCUGGUGAGACCUAAGCUCCUUAGCAAAGGCUACGGUGCAAUUGCCUUUGAAGUAUAGUGUCAUGGUAUCUGAUGGCAUGACAUCCAGUUCUGCAACUAACAUGAACCAGAAUGCAUCCUAUAUAUCUACAGUGUACUCAGCUUCCAUUGAUCGAUUAUUUGAAACUCUUCCAAGAUAUCGACACAAAAACACACCCCAUGAUGUAGACAUUCUACCAUCAAUAUCAGACAUAAAAUCUGAAUUGGUGUAUCCUUCUACUCCUAGCUUUGAUCCUUCUCCAAAUUAAGAACUUAUCUUUAGUUCUUCUCAAGUAUUUAAGGAUAUUUUCACAGUAAUCUAGCGCUCUCAGUCUGGAUACAACUGAUAUCUACUCAUGACACUCACAGUAUUAACUAUAUCAAUUCAAGUAUAUUACAUGGGAUAUAUCUAUACCCAAGAGGAUAGCAGACCCCACUUCGAGAUUUCUAUGCUGAACCCUUUCAGCAUCUACUCUUUAUACUUUAUCUGUGAAAAUACAAGCAUCCAAUUGUAUCUAUCUCUAUAGAUCUUUAUAUUCUCAG
RNAcentral lists this long non-coding RNA (746 nucleotides) under Elaeis guineensis (African oil palm). RNAcentral's name for it is "long non-coding RNA (EGUI_LNC020460)". The record is from RNAcentral. Lineage: Eukaryota; Viridiplantae; Streptophyta; Magnoliopsida; Arecales; Arecaceae.